Molecule: ribosomal RNA, 248 nt
Filed under: uncultured bacterium
Lineage: Bacteria
Description: partial 16S ribosomal RNA
Rfam family: Bacterial small subunit ribosomal RNA
Source: RNAcentral
UGAGUAACGCGUGAGUAACCUGCCUUCAAGAGGGGGAUAACAUUCUGAAAAGAAUGCUAAUACCGCAUGACAUAUCGGAACCACAUGGUUUUGAUAUCAAAGAUUUAUCGCUUGAAGAUGGACUCGCGUCCGAUUAGUUAGUUGGUGAGGUAACGGCUCACCAAGACCGCGAUCGGUAGCCGGACUGAGAGGUUGAACGGCCACAUUGGGACUGAGACACGGCCCAGACUCCUACGGGAGGCAGCAUG